GGGGGCGACAGGCUUUCGACUGGGACAGCAGAGGAUUAGGACUUCAGGCAGGGCUGAGUAACCCUUCAAAGGCUCAAAACUAUAACUGCGAACGAAAGUUACGCAUUAGCCGCGUAACGCGGCAACUCGGAUGACGUCCCUUCUCCCGGGAUGUCAAACGGGUUAAAAACAAUGGGAGAUAGCUCCUUCGACGCCGAUAAACCGGAGCGAAACACUUCGGCUCGGGGAAUACAGGGUUUGUUUUUUCUUCCCUAAGUUCCCGACACCUUAAAGAGAGAACCAAGCCUGUGGAUAAGGUUUUAAUUUUCUGGUUUCAGGACGCGGGUUCGAUUCCCGCCGCCUCCAA
RNAcentral lists this transfer-messenger RNA (346 nucleotides) under Spirochaetes bacterium GWF1_51_8. It matches the Rfam family "transfer-messenger RNA". Rfam says of the family: Bacterial tmRNA, also known as 10Sa RNA or SsrA, is named for its dual tRNA and mRNA-like properties. Its role is to liberate the mRNA from a stalled ribosome. The record is from RNAcentral. Lineage: Bacteria; Pseudomonadati; Spirochaetota.